UACGGGGUCAGGGCAGUGUCGUCGAUUUAUUGGGCGUAAAGAGCUCGUAGGUGGUUCGGUAAGUCGGAUGUGAAAUCUCCAGGCUCAACCUGGAGGGGUCAUUCGAUACUGCCGUGACUAGAGUUCGGUAGGGGAGUGUGGAAUUCCUGGUGGAGCGGUGAAAUGCGCAGAUAUCAGGAGGAACACCCGUAGCGAAGGCGGCACUCUGGGCCGAUACUGACACUGAGGAGCGAAAGCGUGGGGAGCGAACAGG
Molecule: ribosomal RNA, 253 nt
Filed under: uncultured bacterium
Lineage: Bacteria
Description: partial 16S ribosomal RNA
Rfam family: Bacterial small subunit ribosomal RNA
Source: RNAcentral